UACGGAGGGUGCAAGCGUUGUCCGGAUUUAUUGGGUUUAAAGGGUGCGUAGGCGGCUUCUUAAGUCAGUGGUGAAAGCCAACAGCUCAACUGUUGAACUGCCAUUGAUACUGGGAAGCUUGAGUACAGACGAGGUAGGCGGAAUUGACAGUGUAGCGGUGAAAUGCAUAGAUAUUGUCAAGAACUCCGAUUGCGAAGGCAGCUUACUAGACUGUAACUGACGCUGAGGCACGAAAGCGUGGGGAUCAAACAGG
This 253-nucleotide ribosomal RNA is filed under the name uncultured bacterium. Its description in RNAcentral is "partial 16S ribosomal RNA". It matches the Rfam family "Bacterial small subunit ribosomal RNA", at positions 524 to 776 of the family's 1533-position model. The record is from RNAcentral.